Aotus nancymaae (Ma's night monkey) is the source of this 82-nucleotide microRNA precursor. Lineage: Eukaryota; Metazoa; Chordata; Mammalia; Primates; Aotidae. The record is from Ensembl.
GUAAUCAAAUCUCAAGACUAGACUUAGCUAUGGCCAGGCCAUGGUAAGUAUCACAGUAUGUCUAGUCUUUAGGUUUGAUUAC